This is a long non-coding RNA of Rhincodon typus (whale shark), 794 nucleotides long. RefSeq lists it as uncharacterized. The transcript is spliced from 2 exons. The record is from RefSeq and is a predicted model, not a curated record. Lineage: Eukaryota; Metazoa; Chordata; Chondrichthyes; Orectolobiformes; Rhincodontidae.
GGCAAAGUAGAAGGAAGUUUAACUGUGAAGUCACAGGUAGUAGUUAAGUGAGUGGCAGGUGAUUGGGAUUUGACAGGAUUUGCAGCAGAGUGGAAAGGUACAUUAAGCAUACAGCCAGAGUGGCACACAGAAGAAAACAAUUGAAUGGACAGUAGCCAAUUAAAAAUGAACUGAGACAGCAGUGACGGAUUAAAAAGAAAAUGUAAAACAAAAAUAAACAGCAGCAUCAUAGAUGGAGAAAGACCAAAAAGUCAGCUGGAGCCUGGCAAGAAGAAAACAAAGAAAAUAGAACAAAGAUAAAGGAAAGCUACAGUUAUGAUUUGACUUCCAGUAAAUUGCAAAAUCAUAUAUUGAAAGAUGAGAAAACUGCUGUUCCCACAAUUUGCUACUCAUCAUAAUGUAUGUUCAACAAUGAACCAAAAAUGUUAGUGCUCCAAAGGAAUACAGUUUCUUAUGGUCAUUAUGGAUUUCUAGAUAUUCACAGAUGAUAGGCAUAUUUCAAUUUAAUCAGAAAGCUUGCUCAACCUUAAACUGCACAAGUUCUCCAAAUUAUUAAAAUGUACAAUCACCUCAGCAAAUGAACAACUGACAAUUUUUGUGUUUUAUAAAUUUGGCCUAUAUUAUCCAGAGUUUAUAAGAACGAGAGGUGAUCUCAAUGAAACAUUUGUUAUAAUGAAACUGCUAGACACAGGUAGAUACUGAAAGUUUGUUUUCCAUUCACCAUUCCAAUGCCUCUACCAAUCAACACACUCCUCUUGUACUGAAUAAAAGUCAUCUUCCCUUCACUCUGGUAA